Molecule: ribosomal RNA, 392 nt
Filed under: uncultured bacterium
Lineage: Bacteria
Description: partial 16S ribosomal RNA
Rfam family: Bacterial small subunit ribosomal RNA
Source: RNAcentral
ACACGUAGGGGCCUGACGUUGUUCGGAAUCAUUGGGCGUAAAGGGCGCGCAGGCGGCCGUCCAAGUCCGGUGUUAAAUGGUCGGGCUCAACCCGAUCAUGCGCUGGAAACUGGGCGGCUUGAGUCCCGUAGGGGAUGCCGGAAUUCCAGGCGUAGGGGUGAAAUCUGUAGAUAUCUGGAAGAACACCGAUGGCGAAGGCAGGCAUCUGGCCGGAGACUGACGCUGAGGCGCGAAGGCGCGGGGAGCGAACAGGUUUAGAUACCCUGGUAGUCCGCGCAGUAAACGAUGCGCACCAGGUGUCGGGCGGCAGCGCCCGGUGCCGGAGCUAACGCGAUGAGUGCGCCGCCUGGGGAGUAUGCCCGCAAGGGUGAAACUCAAAUGAAUUGACGGGG